AACGCACCUUGCGCUCCUUGGUAUUCCGAGGAGCAUGCCUGUUUGAGUGUCAUUAAAUACCUCAACCCCGAUGGAUUUGUUUCUUUCGGGGCUUGGACUUUGGAGCGUGCUGGCGCGAGUCGGCUCCUCUCAAAUGCAUCAGCGGAAAUCAAUCUUUGGCUUUCGGACUUCAGUGUGAUAAUCACGUUGCGCUGUGGCACGAGCCUCAAGGUCCGCUUACAAUGGUCUUUGGACGAUUUCAUCGAAUUUGACCUCAAAUCAGGUAGGACUACCCGCUGAACUUAA
RNAcentral lists this unclassified non-coding RNA (285 nucleotides) under Piloderma sp. Its description in RNAcentral is "partial contains 5.8S ribosomal RNA, internal transcribed spacer 2, and large subunit ribosomal RNA". The stretch from base 1 to 52 matches the Rfam family "5.8S ribosomal RNA", at positions 103 to 154 of the family's 154-position model. RNAcentral also lists the same sequence under 2 other names. Lineage: Eukaryota; Fungi; Basidiomycota; Agaricomycetes; Atheliales; Atheliaceae. The record is from RNAcentral.